CGUGAGAUGUUGGGUUAAGUCCCGCAACGAGCGCAACCCCUAUCCUAUGUUACCAGCGGGUAAUGCCGGGGACUCAUAGGAGACUGCCAAGGACAACUUGGAGGAAGGCGGGGAUGACGUCAAGUCAUCAUGCCCCUUAUGUCUUGGGCUACACACGUACUACAAUGGUCGGCAACAGAGGGAAGCGAAGCCGUGAGGCAGAGCAAACCCCAGAAACCCGAUCUCAGUUCGGAUUCAGGCUGCAACUCGCCUGCA
This 255-nucleotide ribosomal RNA is filed under the name uncultured bacterium. Its description in RNAcentral is "partial 16S ribosomal RNA". It matches the Rfam family "Bacterial small subunit ribosomal RNA", at positions 1066 to 1320 of the family's 1533-position model. The record is from RNAcentral.